This 253-nucleotide ribosomal RNA is filed under the name uncultured bacterium. RNAcentral's name for it is "partial 16S ribosomal RNA". It matches the Rfam family "Bacterial small subunit ribosomal RNA", at positions 524 to 776 of the family's 1533-position model. The record is from RNAcentral.
GACAGAGGGUGCAAACGUUGUUCGGAAUUACUGGGCGUAAAGCGAGUGUAGGCGGUCUGCUAAGUCGGGUGUGAAAGCCCCGGGCUUAACCUGGGAACUGCGAUGGAAACUAGCGAGCUGGAGUGUGGCAGAGGGGGGUGGAAUUCCGCGUGUAGCAGUGAAAUGCGUAGAGAUGCGGAGGAACACCGAUGGCGAAGGCAGCCCCCUGGGCUAACACUGACGCUCAGGCACGAAAGCGUGGGGAGCAAACAGG